GCCUCGGUAGCUCAGUGGAUAGAGCAUCUUCCUCCUAAGAAGAGGGUCGUAGGUUCGAUUCCUACCCGGGGCG
This 73-nucleotide transfer RNA is filed under the name Sinimarinibacterium flocculans. RNAcentral's name for it is "gamma proteobacterium NH6-24 tRNA". It matches the Rfam family "tRNA". Rfam says of the family: Transfer RNA (tRNA) molecules are approximately 80 nucleotides in length. Their secondary structure includes four short double-helical elements and three loops (D, anti-codon, and T loops). The record is from Rfam by way of RNAcentral. Lineage: Bacteria; Pseudomonadati; Pseudomonadota; Gammaproteobacteria; Nevskiales; Nevskiaceae.